RNAcentral lists this long non-coding RNA (331 nucleotides) under Homo sapiens (human). Its description in RNAcentral is "HSALNT0390987". Lineage: Eukaryota; Metazoa; Chordata; Mammalia; Primates; Hominidae. The record is from RNAcentral.
ACACGCGAGAGCCCGAGGCGACAGGCUAGGCCGCCAGCAGGUGCCCUGGCAGGAGGGACUGGCUUAUGCCACCCUGUGCAGGAUCGUCUUCUCAGCUUACAGAGCCUAGUGUGAUUCAACAACCCUCCAUCUCUGCCCCCAACAUGCCCAACUGAUCUGGUGGAGGGAACUGAAGAUGAAGGCCUCUCAGGCACCAUGGAUGGGAUGGGUGUGUGUGAAGGGGGCAGGGUCCCCAGGAGCUGCCCCAGGUCUGGCUGGACAGUUGCACGGGAAGUCCUGUUUGUGAACUCAACGUUUCCACGGCUUUUCCAUUAAACUUUACCCCAAAUCA